RNAcentral lists this ribosomal RNA (484 nucleotides) under uncultured bacterium. Its description in RNAcentral is "partial 16S ribosomal RNA". It matches the Rfam family "Bacterial small subunit ribosomal RNA", at positions 30 to 507 of the family's 1533-position model. The record is from RNAcentral.
AUUGAACGCUGGCGGCAGGCCUAACACAUGCAAGUCGAGCGGUUGAAGUUAGCUUGCUCCUGGAUUCAGCGGCGGACGGGUGAGUAAUUCCUAGGAAUCUGCCUGGUAGUGGGGGAUAACGUCCGGAAACGGGCGCUAAUACCGCAUACGUCCUGAGGGAGAAAGUGGGGGAUCUUCUUACCUCACUCUAUCAGCUGCGCCUAGGUCUGAUUAGCUAGUUGGUUGGGUAAAGGCCUACCAAGGCGACGAUCCGUAACUGGUCUGAGAGGAUGAUCAGUCAAAUUGGAACUGAGAAACGGUCCAGACUCCUACGGGAGGCAGAAGUGGGGAAUAUUGGACAAUGGGCGAAAGCCUGAUGAAGACAUGCCGGGGGUGGGAAGAAGGUCUUCGGAUUGUAAAGCACUUUAAGAGGGGAGGAAGGGCAGUAAGUUAAAAACUUGAUGAUUUGACGUUACCAACAGAGUAAGCAACGGCUAACUUCGUG